UGGCUGUCUUGAUGUCUCACAGCAGGAAGAGACUCUCUCAAAUAGGUGUACACAUGGGGAGAGAGAGAGCAAGGAGACUGAGAUACAAUCAGCCACCAGCAAGUUGUCUUGAUUUUCUGAAUGGAGCGUGGUAGCAUGUUAUAGAGUCCAAGGAAUUUGCCAAAUCCGUGUGAGAAGAUUUGCCUCUCACAUGUGAGAGAAUUUUUUGAGAAAAAAAAGAUCCUGACCCCGUCCCUCUGCCACCACCCGAGUGAGGAAGACUGACAGAGCACAUUGGCUUGCUGUGGAGACAAGAUCAGGGAAAGCGCCCCUGAAAAGAAAGCAUUUUGGAAGUCCUGAAGGUGGAGAAGGAGAUUUAGAGGAAGAGUGAUAAAUCAGAAGUCUUCGUCCAAGAAUUAGCUUUGCACCAUCUACAGACCUAAGCAGCUGCAGUUCUGGAGGCUGGGAAGUCCAAGAUCAAGGCAUUGACAGGUUCACCUUGUGGUGAGUGUCCAACUACUGCUGGUAAAAAGUGCCUUGAAUGCUGCAUACUUUGGAGGUGUGAGCAGAAGAAAUCUGUGCCGAAAGAAUAGCAGAACUUAGAUAAAUCACAAACAUCCAGUAUUUUCCAAUAUUGGUUUCUCCUUUCCUCCAUUUUCCCUUCCUGGAAGACUCUACUGGAUGUCUUAGUGU
This 672-nucleotide long non-coding RNA is filed under the name Homo sapiens (human). Its description in RNAcentral is "HSALNT0310122". Lineage: Eukaryota; Metazoa; Chordata; Mammalia; Primates; Hominidae. The record is from RNAcentral.